ACUAUUUAAAAUUAUUGAACUCUAUAUUUAAUAAACGUACUCUAUGUAUGGUUGAACUUCUGUACUAUUCAGUAACACGUAGCGAUGAGCAACUUUCAACAUCUCAUUGGAUAGUAUAAUUGUCUUUCCUUUAGAAAUUGUACGCCCUGCAACUAGGAAAUUAGUCUCGUAUUCUUCAUUGUGUACAGGCUUAGAACCUAUUUUAGAUGCUUGUGUUACGUAUUUGCUACAAAACUUCGCAUUUUCUUCAACAAUAUAUCAUUCAGCUAUGCACCCUUCAGGCCGUGUACGAUUCAU
Molecule: long non-coding RNA, 297 nt
Filed under: Olea europaea (common olive)
Lineage: Eukaryota; Viridiplantae; Streptophyta; Magnoliopsida; Lamiales; Oleaceae
Description: long non-coding RNA (OEUR_LNC008232)
Source: RNAcentral